This is a long non-coding RNA of Thunnus maccoyii (southern bluefin tuna), 1660 nucleotides long. RefSeq lists it as uncharacterized. NCBI's taxonomy places the organism in Eukaryota, Metazoa, Chordata, Actinopteri, Scombriformes, Scombridae. The record is from RefSeq and is a predicted model, not a curated record. The transcript is spliced from 2 exons.
CACGCCAACAUAAUGUAACUGAGAAAACAAUUUAGUCGUAUAUAAAUGUAUUUUUUUUAAGAGACUGGGUUGCUUAAGUGUAGUUGAUAGAAACAUAUAUACUUUGAUUUUGCUUAAAUUAUAAUGGACUGAAUGACUUCUUCAUUGUGAACUUUGAGCUCCUGCACUGACAAGUUGGUGUUGAGUAUAUUCCUCUUCUGAAACGGCAAAAUAUUAGUGUUAAUGAAGACGUUCUUUUCUUCUGUUUCUGUUAUUUUGUCAGGCUUUACUCCUUACUUGUGAUAUCUUUUAUUGUGAUCUGUUCUGGUUUUAUUUGCAGCCUCAGAUCAGAGUCGUACAUACAAUAUUCUCACUAAUAAGGAAGGACACAACUAGUUGGAUUCACGUUUACUUUUUUCCAAGUCAUGAACUACUUUUUCAGAGUUAAGAUUUAUUCCAGAAAACCUCUUCUCAAACAAGCACUGACUGGUUAAUUAAUCUCCUCUGGAAAUUGAUCCUUAAAGAGUUAAAAGUCACACGCUUGAUUCAGCAGAAUCUCAGACGUCAGUUGUCAGAUCUGAGUCAGAUUACAGCUUCGGUUUUCAGAUGUCAGGUCUGUGUCCCACUCUGCUGUUUUUGUGUCACACUGAGUCUCCACAUCAUCACCCAUUAAGAAGCUGCCGCUGCAUUCCUCCAUACCUGCUGAUUAAAGCAAUCGUGCUUGUUGAUUGGCUGUCUCACCUCGCAGGCUGAAGCGUCUGCUGAGCCGGGCGUGUUGUUUCCCUGCAGAUCUGCAGCCGAGGUGGAGGAGGAGAUGGAGGAGGAAGAGGAGGAGGAGGAGGAGCGGCACAAGUUUCUCUUCUGGGAAGCUCUUGUCUGUUAAUUAGCGGUGAGCAGAUGGAAGAAAGUCCACAUCUCGCUGGGGAUCAAUUCUACCCGAGAAGCGGCAGCAGCAACCUCAGUUUAUUUAUUUCUUAGCUCAGCAGCGACGGGGCGAUGUCACCUCCCAAAUGUGCGCGAAGGAAGAGGAGGAGAACCCGGGAGAGUUUGGAAGAGAAGACUUAGACACACACAAGACGCGAGGAGCGCCUCGUUUUCAAGAGAUUUCCUCAGAGACCCUGAAAGGAGCGGCAUUCAGCUGGCGGUUGAGUGUUGAGUUUAGUUACUUAUCAUUACUUUGUUUACAGCCAUCUGUUUACACACACAUCCUCCUCAUCUUACCUCCUUGUGUCUCGCUUCGCUCUAUACGCUGCAAGCCGUAACCCGCCGGCCUCCUGCCAAAAACUGAAGCCUCGCCGACAGCUGCGGCGGCGGCUGCUGCUGCCGACUUAUUUUCCGGCAGCACAAAGUGAAAUUUGCUGCAAACAAAAAUAGUGACUUUGUGGAGGCUUUUGUGGAGGCAUCUGCAGAAUCACCAUUCCAUUCAGACAGUGUUUUCACUCCAUUUAGCGAUUCGCCCACGCAGUAACUGCAGAGGCGUUGAGAGCAGGAUGGAUAAUUCUGCUGGUUCAGGGGUUUGAUUUGAAGCGGGGACCCCCUCGAAGUUUUAAAAUCAAGCUUUUGUUCCCUGUGUGUUUAGUUGUGUGUGUGGUUUGAAUUUUGAAAAUCUUUCACAGUUGUGUCCUUUUGUUGUUCAGUUGUCAACAUCCAGAUAUUACAUAAUUAAACAUCUUCAUCCAUC